GCCCAUCAACACUCGGUCAGCCUUGUUAAAGAGGACGGACUCGAUGUGGACAAUGGUCCUCCGAUCCAGUAAUGGAACGGUGGGCUGAAGUUAAUGGUCGUCGGAUGGUGACAUGAUCGGCGAGUGGUGGGCUACUGCGCAUGUCGAUCACAGCUACCAUUUCGAUGUACGGCCAAUUCACCCCAGUCAAAACGAGGGGAUUGUUGAUUCAGCUUCUUGUUGUUUCACAAUUUCGGACC
Molecule: unclassified non-coding RNA, 239 nt
Filed under: Isolepis levynsiana
Lineage: Eukaryota; Viridiplantae; Streptophyta; Magnoliopsida; Poales; Cyperaceae
Description: partial ITS2
Source: RNAcentral